GAUGAACGCUGGCGGCGUGCCUAAUACAUGCAAGUCGAGCGAACAGAUGAGGAGCUUGCUCCUCUGACGUUAGCGGCGGACGGGUGAGUAACACGUGGAUAACCUACCUAUAAGACUGGGAUAACUUCGGGAAACCGGAGCUAAUACCGGAUAAUAUAUUGAACCGCAUGGUUCAAUAGUGGAAGACGGUUUUGCUGUCACUUAUAGAUGGAUCCGCGCCGCAUUGGCUAGUUGGUAAGGUAACGGCUUACCAAGGCAACGAUGCGUAGCCGACCUGAGAGGGUGAUCGGCCACACUGGAACUGAGACACGGUCCAGACUCCUACGGGAGGCAGCAGUAGGGAAUCUUCCGCAAUGGGCGAAAGCCUGACGGAGCAACGCCGCGUGAGUGAUGAAGGUCUUCGGAUCGUAAAACUCUGUUAUUAGGGAAGAACAAAUGUGUAAGUAACUAUGCACGUCUUGACGGUACCUAAUCAGAAAGCCACGGCUAACUACGUG
This 497-nucleotide ribosomal RNA is filed under the name uncultured bacterium. RNAcentral describes it as "partial 16S ribosomal RNA". It matches the Rfam family "Bacterial small subunit ribosomal RNA", at positions 28 to 507 of the family's 1533-position model. The record is from RNAcentral.